CGGUCACGUUUUCUUCUUUCCGACGUAGGAUUGAUCAAAAGAAAUCUAUUGAGUUUAAUUCAUUGCAAAAUUCUAAGUUUGAUUCCAAACAAACAAGGGAUUAUGAAUGAAAUGAAUCUUGGCCGCCUCUCCCCUCCCCAAUACAUAAAUUUCUCUGCUCUGCCUCUGCUCAUUGCUUCAGAAAAAUGUCGGAGUUAUUCUCUACUCUUUUCUUUGGGGAUAACCCAGAAUUUGAGGAUUUUCUCGCUCAAGAUCUUGAGGGUUUCUUGGGGCAACGAGCAAGUUCCCACGAGUCCUCCCCUGAUUUGCACUUACCGUUACUGGUUUUGAUGGGCGACGAAGAUGAUGCUUCGAUGAUGACAGAGUUAGCAACUGAUGAUGGUGAUCCACAGACACAGCCUGCGAGUGCCGAGUUCGUUGAACGGCUGGAGACGGUCAAAAUCGAAGAAUCGGGUUUGGAGUGUUCGAUUUGCUUGGAUAAAUUGUCGAUAGGGUCGGAAGGUAGGCGGUUGCCAUGCUCGCAUCUUUAUCAUGGCAAUUGCAUCGAGGAGUGGCUGAAGAAGAGCAAGACAUGCCCUUUAUGUCGAGCGAGUUGAUCGAUCGUUGGAAAGAUUCAUUGGAUGCAGAGAUAAUUUCUUCAUCAAGAGAACCUCUGGGCAAAAGACUUGGAUUCCAGGCGAAGCAAACUAUUCGGAUGUCAAGAAUAUUAUCGGGCCAUUACAACAGGGCACGUGGUGAAAUGUACAAUUUUAUUUUUUUAGGGAGAAUUUGAGAACUACGUGGACCUGAUCCUCCAUUUUGUAUUGUAAGGAGGUACGUAGGCAGCUUCAGGGUGCGGUCCAAAUUAUGUAAAAAAAAUUUUUUUCUGUUCUCCUUAGAAGGGGACCAGUUUUUUUUCAUUUGUCUUUGGUGCAGAAUUUUGCUGGAUGAGCAUAUUGCUUCUGAUUAACCAGUGAAACAUUCAAUUUUGCCUCAUGUCAAUGACUUAGCACUAAAAAACAACUGUUGCUCCACUGGUAUCUGUUCAUAUGAAUAUCUAAAGAGAAGGUGUACCAGUGAGAUUUACAAUGCACCCAUGCUUUUUGUUGAAGUGCUGAUGUUAAUCAGAAGCUGGGAAUUUGUAUCUAUUGUUAGGUAAUAGUCAAUGCUCUCUUAUGCUUUGGGGAUCUUGUUCACACACUUGAUAAACAUGCUGUUCUGGAAAUCUUGCAAACAAUUCAACAUUUUAAGCUGUUGACCAUUCUGCUCCCACCCUUAUGUUAACCCUUGGGGUUGGAAUUGUAAAUUCAAUUCGUAAAGAGUAUGGAGUAGAAUUUGUAGCAGAGCUUUUCCCUCUUCUCACUGCCCAACAAUUAAAUGUUCAGCAGUUUGCCAAAUAUAUGCGUGAGAAUACCAGAUUGAGAACUGAGAAAUGAAUUAUGCAAUCUAUAUGCACUUUCUGAAAGGAUAUCAUCGGGAACCAUAAGUCCUGAUCGCCCUCUUUCGAGCAAUCAGCCAAUUCAGUUAGCUUCUUUGCAAUCAGAAUCUUCCUUGAUCGCUGCUGUACCUGGUCAGCAAACAGCUACUUCAUGUGACUGCUUUUAAAAUUAAAUUAAUGUUUCUGAACAUUCCUUUCA
Molecule: long non-coding RNA, 1616 nt
Organism: Hevea brasiliensis (rubber tree)
Lineage: Eukaryota; Viridiplantae; Streptophyta; Magnoliopsida; Malpighiales; Euphorbiaceae
Exons: 6
Source: RefSeq, a predicted model, not a curated record